GAUGAACGCUGACAGAAUGCUUAACACAUGCAAGUCAACUUGAAUUUGGGUUUUUAACUUAGGUUUGGGUGGCGGACGGGUGAGUAACGCGUAAAGAACUUGCCUCACAGCUAGGGACAACAUUUGGAAACGAAUGCUAAUACCUAAUAUUAUGAUAAUAGGGCAUCCUAUAAUUAUGAAAGCUAUAAGCGCUGUGAGAGAGCUUUGCGUCCCAUUAGCUAGUUGGAGAGGUAACGGCUCACCAAGGCGAUGAUGGGUAGCCGGCCUGAGAGGGUGAUCGGCCACAAGGGGACUGAGACACGGCCCUUACUCCUACGGGAGGAAGCAGUGGGGAAUAUUGGACAAUGGACCGAGAGUCUGAUCCAGCAAUUCUGUGUGCACGAUGAAGUUUUUCGGAAUGUAAAGUGCUUUCAGUUGGGAAGAAACAAAUGACGGUACCAACAGAAGAAGUGACGGCUAAAUACGU
This 466-nucleotide ribosomal RNA is filed under the name uncultured bacterium. Its description in RNAcentral is "partial 16S ribosomal RNA". It matches the Rfam family "Bacterial small subunit ribosomal RNA", at positions 28 to 506 of the family's 1533-position model. The record is from RNAcentral.